This is a non-coding RNA of Cinara cedri, 624 nucleotides long. NCBI's taxonomy places the organism in Eukaryota, Metazoa, Arthropoda, Insecta, Hemiptera, Aphididae. The record is from the annotation of a GenBank genome assembly.
CUAUAUUGUUGACUAAGCGACAUUCUAAACCGAACUUCGCUCAGAAUAGUCUUUCGUUAGCUGCAAUGGUUGCGCACGAAUUUCCAUUCUACCUUCCCAAGUUCUUAUCUACAACAGUGACCCACCCAUGUGCACUUGGCCCAAUAAGGUCGCCAAUCGUUCUAUAUUGGGCAGGAUUGUCCUCUCUCUCUUGAUUAAUACAAGGCCUAUAUAUAUUUGAUUUGCCCUACAUCAAACAACGCUUUAAACUUCAAUCGUCAGUCCUGCAUUUCAAAUGUCAAUAUAGCCAAUAUAGGCAUACAGACUUUAAAAGACUAUAACCAUGAGAAAUAUCAUUUAUAGUUCAUUAUUAUAUGUUUUGAUUGUUUUAAGUUUUCAUUUAUGUACUCAUGUACCUACUACCUAUUAUGGUAUAAUUUAACUAUUUAAGACAGUUACUCUCGAGUCGCCCCCCCCCCAAAAUUCAGGUAGGUGACCUUUUUUCACUUGAAUUUCAUCCGGGUAUUUUCGGAGGCGAUUCGAGUAUACUCGAAAAAUAUUAUUUUUAUCAUUUAUAAUAACGUAUACAUAUUAUAGUAUUUCCCAGACAGAUUAAUUUUUCGAAUGCGAUCUUAUCGAUAACUG